Molecule: ribosomal RNA, 329 nt
Filed under: uncultured cyanobacterium
Lineage: Bacteria; Bacillati; Cyanobacteriota
Description: bacterial SSU rRNA
Rfam family: Bacterial small subunit ribosomal RNA
Source: RNAcentral
UCGCAAUGGGCGAAAGCCUGACGGAGCAAUACCGCGUGAGGGAGGAAGGCUCUUGGGUUGUAAACCUCUUUUCUCAGGGAAKAACAAAAUGACGGUACCUGAGGAAUAAGCAUCGGCUAACUCCGUGCCAGCAGCCGCGGUAAUACGGAGGAUGCAAGCGUUAUCCGGAAUGAUUGGGCGUAAAGGGUCCGCAGGUGGCAUUGUAAGUCUGCUGUUAAAGAGUUUGGCUCAACCAAAUAAAAGCAGUGGAAACUACAAAGCUAGAGUAUGGUCGGGGCAGAGGGAAUUCCUGGUGUAGCGGUGAAAUGCGUAGAUAUCAGGAAGAACAC